UGGCUCAGGACGAACGCUGGCGGCGUGCUUAACACAUGCAAGUCGAACGGUGAAGAGGAGCUUGCUCCUUGGAUCAGUGGCGGACGGGUGAGUAAUACCUAGGAAUCUGCCUGAUAGUGGGGGACAACGUUCGGAAACGGACGCUAAUACCGCAUACGUCCUACGGGAGAAAGCAGGGGACCUUCGGGCCUUGCGCUAUCAGAUGAGCCUAGGUCGGAUUAGCUAGUUGGUGAGGUAAUGGCUCACCAAGGCGACGAUCCGUAACUGGUCUGAGAGGAUGAUCAGUCACACUGGAACUGAGACACGGUCCAGACUCCUACGGGAGGCAGCAGUGGGGAAUAUUGGACAAUGGGCGAAAGCCUGAUCCAGCCAUGCCGCGUGUGUGAAGAAGGUCUUCGGAUUGUAAAGCACUUUAAGUUGGGAGGAAGGGCAUUAACCUAAUACGUUAGUGUUUUGACGUUACCGACAGAAUAAGCACCGGCUAACUCUGUGCCAGCA
This 498-nucleotide ribosomal RNA is filed under the name uncultured bacterium. RNAcentral's name for it is "bacterial SSU rRNA". It matches the Rfam family "Bacterial small subunit ribosomal RNA", at positions 20 to 513 of the family's 1533-position model. The record is from RNAcentral.